Molecule: RNA transcript, 2360 nt
Organism: Mastomys coucha (southern multimammate mouse)
Lineage: Eukaryota; Metazoa; Chordata; Mammalia; Rodentia; Muridae
Gene: Nudt9
Gene name: nudix hydrolase 9
Exons: 10
Source: RefSeq, a predicted model, not a curated record
GCGCUGUCGCGUGUCGGGUUCGCCGUUGGGACUGCGGGUGCCGCCGGCUAUCGGCGGCCCGCGCUGGAGGAGCGCGGCCGGGUCCUAGUGCCCGGUGGCUUCAGGUUCGAGGCUCGUAGCGGGGCUCCGGGAGAGGCCAGCCGCCUCAGAACCCUCGCCCGCGGCGCGCCAGGCGCCGAUGGCUGGUCGCUCCCUGGGGCAGGCGGUAGCCACCGUGUCGCUCUCGGUGGCCCUCGCGUCUGUGACCGUCCGGUCCUUAGGCUGCCGCGCCGUCCCCGCACCCAGAAACCGAUUUCCAACCUGUGGGUUCCAUCUUAACGCCAACAUCAUGUCUGGUUCUAAUGGUGCCAAAGAGAAUUCCCACAACAAGGCCCGGACAUCUCCUUACCCAGGUUCCAAAGUCGAGCGUAGUCAGGUUCCAAAUGAGAAGGUGGGUUGGCUUGUUGAGUGGCAAGACUACAACCCAGUGGAGUACACCGCAGUCUCUGUCCUGGCUGGACCCCGGUGGGCGGACCCUCAGAUCAGUGAAAGCAACUUCUCUCCCAAAUUUAAUGAAAAGGACGGGCAUGUUGAAAGAAAGAGCCAGAACGGCCUGUACGAGAUUGAAAAUGGAAGACCUAGAAAUCCUGCAGGGAGGACAGGACUGGUUGGCCGUGGUCUUCUGGGGAGAUGGGGCCCAAAUCAUGCUGCUGAUCCUAUUAUAACCAGGUGGAAAAGGGACGAGAGCGGGAAUAAGAUCAAACAUCCUGUCUCUGGGAAGUGCAUCUUGCAGUUUGUUGCGAUCAAAAGGAAAGACUGUGGAGAGUGGGCAAUCCCAGGGGGGAUGGUAGACCCUGGAGAGAAGAUCAGUGCCACACUGAAGAGGGAGUUUGGUGAGGAAGCCCUGAACUCGUUACAGAAGUCCAGUGCGGAGAAAAGGGAGAUCGAGGAGAAGCUGCACGCGCUCUUCAGCCAGGAGCAUCUUGUGAUAUACAAGGGAUAUGUUGACGACCCUCGGAACACUGACAAUGCGUGGAUGGAGACAGAAGCUGUGAACUACCAUGAUGAAACAGCUGCUGCUGAAGACACAGCUAUCAGCCGUUCAAGGAAUAAUACCUAUGAGGUGCUUGUGAUGUGAGAUUCUGGAGUGAGUUGGUGGAUUCCGACGUCCACUGAUGCUCCCCCUGUAUCAUUACAUCAGAAAUUGUAAAUGAUCUCUACCUGUCUGCAGGAUGCUGAUCCAGUUCAUUAAACUGCCAGUGCACAGGAUACACAUACAUAUGGUAGUUUUUCUUAAAGUCCCUCAAGAGAAGUUCAAUGGGAUGGUCUCCAGCCAAGAGUCUCUUCUCAUCCAGAUGGCCACCAUGUUUGGGAUUCGGCUCAUAAAGCUGCAUGAGGAUAUUUUUGAGCCAGUCUCUCAUCCGCAGGGGAAACUGAGCCACUUCGAAGUCCGUACAAGCAGGAAUAGCUGUGGUAAGCAGAAGACACGUGACCAUAUUUCAAAUAACAAGUCAUAGGAAGCCCCAAGCACACUCCAAGUUGCUGGGUAUUUUUUGUGCCUGGGUUUCAGGAUGUUUUAAGAGAUCUCUAAAUAAUUUUGACAUGCUAUAAAGGACUGAGGACCACUGCUGUAAAAUCAAGGACCAGAAAUUUAGAAAUGGAGGUCUCUCAGGUUGUUGAUGAGCCCCAGAAAAUAAAGUCAAGCUGAGCUUUCAUGCAGCAGCAAACCAUGCUACAUCGCUGCAUUUAAAGAGGCCCAUGCCCAUUCCCAGACCACCCAGGUCUGUGCCAGCUGCCAAGAAGGCUCAUUUCAUCCCUGGGGCUCAAAAUGUGGCUACUACCUCAACACAAGGCUUCAGAGUGUGUGGUGACAAGCUCAGAGAACACAGAGUGACAUGCCAUGCCAGCCUCCAUGGGCUUCUGCUUAGAAUGGACAACAAGCUCAGAGAACACAGAGUGACAUGCCAUGCCAGCCUCCAUGGGCUUCUGCUUAGAAUGGACAUAGAUGAAUUUGUCCGCCUUAACAGACAGAGCAAGUCAGAGGCUAACAUCUAACAUCAAGGGGCCCAAGAGACUUAAUCAUGUGUGUAGAAACUGAGAAGAAGCAGAAACGUGAGUGGGCUAUACUGGUGUGGAAGAGCCAAGGGGAGCCAAACACAGCUGAGAAAAUCCUGGUUUUUCAACAACUUCUGGAAAAAUUUACUGUAAUACAAUUCUUGACAAAGAAGUUAAAUUGGGAGGAAGUAUUCAGAAAAUCUCCAUCUUUCAUGUCUGUAAGUGCUUAUUACAAUGGUGUCUCUGAAUUUGGGGUGGGGAGGAUUGGAAUUGUCUAGGUUUCUUGAAAAAACAAACAAUAAAACAAAACUAUGCUUCCAACGUGA